AUCCUGGCUCAGUCGGUACAGAGUAGCUUGCUUCUCUUGUGAGCGGCGGACGGGUGAGUAAUGCCUAGGAAUCUGCCUGGUAGUGGGGGAUAACGUUCGGAAACGGACGCUAAUACCGCAUACGUCCUACGGGAGAAAGCAGGGGACCUUCGGGCCUUGCGCUAUCAGAUGAGCCUAGGUCGGAUUAGCUAGUUGGUGAGGUAAUGGCUCACCAAGGCGACGAUCCGUAACUGGUCUGAGAGGAUGAUCAGUCACACUGGAACUGAGACACGGUCCAGACUCCUACGGGAGGCAGCAGUGGGGAAUAUUGGACAAUGGGCGAAAGCCUGAUCCAGCCAUGCCGCGUGUGUGAAGAAGGUCUUCGGAUUGUAAAGCACUUUAAGUUGGGAGGAAGGGUUGUAGAUUAAUACUCUGCAAUUUUGACGUUACCGACAGAAUAAGCACCGGCUAACUCUGUGCCAGCAGCCGCGGUAAUACAGAGGGUGCAAGCGUUAAUCGGAAUUACUGGGCGUAAAGCGCGCGUAGGUGGUUUGUUAAGUUGGAUGUGAAAUCCCCGGGCUCAACCUGGGAACUGCAUUCAAAACUGACUGACUAGAGUAUGGUAGAGGGUGGUGGAAUUUCCUGUGUAGCGGUGAAAUGCGUAGAUAUAGGAAGGAACACCAGUGGCGAAGGCGGACCACCUGGACUAGUACUGACACUGAGGUGCGAAAGCGUGGGGAGCAAACAAGGAUUAGAUACCCUGCUAGUCCACGCCGUAACGAUGUCAACUAGCCGUUGGUAGCCUU
This 785-nucleotide ribosomal RNA is filed under the name Pseudomonas synxantha. RNAcentral describes it as "bacterial SSU rRNA". It matches the Rfam family "Bacterial small subunit ribosomal RNA", at positions 55 to 833 of the family's 1533-position model. The record is from RNAcentral. Lineage: Bacteria; Pseudomonadati; Pseudomonadota; Gammaproteobacteria; Pseudomonadales; Pseudomonadaceae.